CAAACCAAAGCUGGCGACCGGCGCACGGGUGAGUAACACGUAUCCAACCUGCCUCAUACUCGGGGAUAGCCUUUCGAAAGAAAGAUUAAUAUCCGAUAGCAUAUAUUCCCGCAUGGGUUUUAUAUUAAAGAAAUUCGGUAUGAGAUGGGGAUGCGUUCCAUUAGUUUGUUGGGGGGGUAACGGCCCACCAAGACUACGAUGGAUAGGGGUUCUGAGAGGAAGGUCCCCCACAUUGGAACUGAGACACGGUCCAA
RNAcentral lists this ribosomal RNA (254 nucleotides) under uncultured bacterium. RNAcentral's name for it is "partial 16S ribosomal RNA". It matches the Rfam family "Bacterial small subunit ribosomal RNA", at positions 74 to 334 of the family's 1533-position model. The record is from RNAcentral.